This is a long non-coding RNA of Equus asinus (donkey), 1945 nucleotides long. The record is from Ensembl. Lineage: Eukaryota; Metazoa; Chordata; Mammalia; Perissodactyla; Equidae.
CACUUCCAAGAUUAGGUCAGAAAAAGCCAGACAGCUUCCAGCUGGUUCUCUUGGAACCCUUGCUCUUGGAAUGCUUGCUCUUGGAAUAUUCCCUCUUGGAACCCAUCAGCCAUGCUGUGAGAAGCCCAAGCCACAUGGAAAGGCCACAUAUAGGGGCCCUCGUCAACAGCCCCGUGAGCCUGGCAUUGAGCAGCCCAGCUCAGAAGCCAGACAAGUGAGUGAAGAAGCCAUCUUGGAAGUGAAUCCCCAGCCCCUGCAGUUCCAGUCUUUCCAGCUGAGGCCACAGACACCAUGGAGCAGAGACAGCCAGCCCUACCAAAUUCUCGACCCACAGAAUCUGUCAGACUAACACCCACCAGAUCUCCUGGGGGAGGCCUGAACUAUGGAAAAAGCUGGUGGCCUGGCCUAGCCAUGUUUUCUCACCAUCCCAAGCCCAGGAUGUGCUGCCCCUGGACCGCAGGCUUCCCUGGUGAGGCACCAGCACGUGUGGGCACCCAGGUGUGUUUGCCGUGAAGUGUCUGUGAAGGUCUCCACAUGGAGGAGUGCAAGAGAUGUAAUCAAUUUGAGAUGAUGUCAUUAGGGUGUGCCCUAAUCCAACAUGCCUGGUGCUCUUACACAAAGAGGAGAAGAGAUACAGACAGACAGAGGAGACCACCAUGUGAAGACGGAAGCAGGGAUUAGAGUGAUGCAUCCACGAGCCAAGCCAGGGACCACCAAGGAGUGCUGGUGACGCCAGAAGCUAGGAGGAAGACGUGGACAGACUGUCCCCUAGAGCCUGCAGAGGGAGCCUGGCUCUGCCAACACCUGGAUUUCGGACUUGCAGCCUCCAGAACUGGGAGAGAACAAGUUUCUGUUGCUGUGGGCUUCUGUUCCAUCACUUUACAGAUGGGCAUCUCCAAGGUCACCAAGGACCUCUGAUGACCUCCAGCAUGCAACGCCAGGCCACAAGUUUGUCCUUGUUGUUCUCAGCAUCUCACCAGGUUGACCUAGGACCUCUCCCUUCUCCUUAAACACGGGCAUCUCACCCCAGCCUUCAGUCACUGCUCCCUCCCACCUUCAUCGCUGGCUCCUAUGUAGUAGGAGCUGCCAUCCUUUAGCUAAGCUCUUUCCCUGGAUGGCUGAGGCAUUAAGGAUGAUGUGCGAGCCAAGAGCUCCCAGAUGAAAAUGCCCAGCGCUGACCUCUUCCCUGGGCUCCAUAUUUGUACUUCCCUCCUGUUGAUUUUACCUUCCAACAUGCUCGAGCCAGCACAUACCAUUGCCUCAACUCAGCAACCUUGAGGGCUCACUUGGACACCUGCCACAGCGUCCCUACUUGUCUCCUUGCUUCCACUCCUGCCAGAAUGAUUGUUUCAGAAAACACAACUCGGAUUAUGUUACUCUCCUGCCCUAUACCCUCCACUGGCUUUCCAGUGCUCUUAAAAUGUAAGUGAAAUAAAAUUCCAAGUCCUUACCUUAGCUUCCAGAGUUGUAGAUGCUCAGGUCCACCUGCCUUCUGGGCUAACCUCCUGCCAUCAUAGCCCAUCAAGGGCACAGUGAUGGGAGCGGUCAGCCCUGGGUUCUGGCAAUAAGAGGAUGCACUGGCCACAGAACAUUUAAAAAAUAGUGGUAAAACCCACUUAGUCUACUUUUCAUUAUUGUCAUGAGCCAGCAAUUCCAAACUAUUUCAGUGAUAAAAUACUCCUUCCCUGAAAAAAAGCAUUUGUUGGUCUGAGUCCUGAACAACUGCUGGAAGUAUGUAGAGUUUUAAUAAUAUGUAGGAAGUUUUAAAUGAGCACAUUUUUAUUGCUUAUCCUUUAAUAAACGUUGUAUUUUACAUGGAAGUUUACAUGCGUUUCUCCCAGAAACAGCAGUCAGGGCUGACUGAGUCACACUGAUUCCAAGACAGAAUUUGUAACAGUUCAGGAUAUUCAUCCUCUCUUUGGACACAGUGUGCAGCCAAUCCAAG